This 253-nucleotide ribosomal RNA is filed under the name uncultured bacterium. Its description in RNAcentral is "partial 16S ribosomal RNA". It matches the Rfam family "Bacterial small subunit ribosomal RNA", at positions 524 to 776 of the family's 1533-position model. The record is from RNAcentral.
UACGAAGGGGGCUAACGUUGUUCGGAAUUACUGGGCGUAAAGCGCGCGCAGGCGGUCUUCCAAGUCAGUGGUGAAAGCCCGGAGCUCAACUCCGGAACUGCCAUUGAAACUGUUAGACUUGAGGAUGAGAGAGGUGAGUGGAAUUCCCAGUGUAGAGGUGAAAUUCGUAGAUAUUGGGAAGAACACCGGUGGCGAAGGCGGCUCACUGGCUCAUUACUGACGCUCAGGCGCGAUAGCGUGGGGAUCAAACAGG